AACCAUAGAUCCGCGUUAGCUACGCUGGACAGAGGGAGGUGACUCUAACUUUAAUUAGCUGAUCCUUUGUUAUUGCUGCUUAACCUCUGUUUAUGUAGACUAACAAGAUUGACGCUCGAGAGGCAGAGUUUCAAGGAACUAAGCUCUGCAAACUGUUCAACUUCUGAGUGUCCUUAACGUUCUUUUCAUUAAGAGGGCCUACUUCUCCUCUGUUUUUCGAAAUAGGGUACUGAGUCGUGGCCUAGUUUUGGAUAUUCUGAAUGGUUCGCAUCUUUGGUUGUUGCCAUUAUGUAUAUGGAUGAGACAGAAGUAGCCCCGUCAACGGAUCUUAAUAGCAAGUAGAAUGCAUGACUUUGAGUUCUUUGAUGUGCUGGAUGGGAGUUUUCUUUCCGGAAAGUGUAUCAAAUCGAGCUCGGUCAUCUCGUUGUCAUUUUACCGCAGUAUAUUCCUAAACACUGUGUAGGCCCUAUGGGCCAGUUAUCACUUGGGUAAAACCAUACUGCAGACAUCU
RNAcentral lists this small nucleolar RNA (511 nucleotides) under Kluyveromyces lactis. Its description in RNAcentral is "Small nucleolar RNA snR30". It matches the Rfam family "Small nucleolar RNA snR30". The record is from Rfam by way of RNAcentral. Lineage: Eukaryota; Fungi; Ascomycota; Saccharomycetes; Saccharomycetales; Saccharomycetaceae.